GUCUAACCUGCCCACUGAGGAUUUAAAUGGCCGCAGUAUUCUAACUGUGCAAAGGUAGCAUAAUCAUUAGUCUUUUAAUUGAAGGCUGGAAUGAAUGGUUGAAUGAAAUAUUAACUGUUUCAAAUAAAUUUAUAAUAGAAUUUUAUUUUUUAGUCAAAAAGCUAAAAUGUCAUUAAAAGACGAGAAGACCCUAUAAAUCUUUAUAUUUUAUUAAUUUUAAUUAUUUAGAAAAAUUAAAUUAUAAUUAUGCAAAUAUUUUAUUGGGGUGAUAUUAAAAUUUAAAAAACUUUUAAUUUAUAAUUUACAUAAAUUAAUGAAUUAUUGAUCCAUAAAUUAUGAUUAAAAAAUUAAGUUACUUUAGGGAUAACAGCGUAAUUUUUUUAGAGAGUUCAUAUUGAUAAAAAAGAUUGCGACCUCGAUGUUGGAUUAAGAUAUAGAUUUAGGUGCAGUAGUUUAAAUCUU
RNAcentral lists this ribosomal RNA (462 nucleotides) under Metopina pileata. Its description in RNAcentral is "partial 16S ribosomal RNA". Lineage: Eukaryota; Metazoa; Arthropoda; Insecta; Diptera; Phoridae. The record is from RNAcentral.